GAGUUUGAUCGUGGCUCAGAUUGAACGCUGGCGGCAUGCCUUACACAUGCAAGUCGAACGGCAGCAUGAUCUAGCUUGCUAGAUUGAUGGCGAGUGGCGAACGGGUGAGUAAUACAUCGGAACGUGCCCUGUAGUGGGGGAUAACUAGUCGAAAGAUUAGCUAAUACCGCAUACGACCUGAGGGUGAAAGUGGGGGACCGCAAGGCCUCAUGCUAUAGGAGCGGCCGAUGUCUGAUUAGCUAGUUGGUGGGGUAAAGGCCCACCAAGGCGACGAUCAGUAGCUGGUCUGAGAGGACGAUCAGCCACACUGGGACUGAGACACGGCCCAGACUCCUACGGGAGGCAGCAGUGGGGAAUUUUGGACAAUGGGCGAAAGCCUGAUCCAGCAAUGCCGCGUGUGUGAAGAAGGCCUCGGUUGGUAA
RNAcentral lists this ribosomal RNA (422 nucleotides) under uncultured microorganism. RNAcentral's name for it is "bacterial SSU rRNA". It matches the Rfam family "Bacterial small subunit ribosomal RNA", at positions 9 to 428 of the family's 1533-position model. The record is from RNAcentral.